AUUGAUGAUUCCUGCUCUGAUUGUUCUUGCCCUGAUUACUUUCACCAACUACCUGAUGAUCUUCUUCUCUUGUAUUGGUCUACGAGCUCAUGGAUCUUGGCUUAAACAGGAGCACCCUAGUGCUGCAUCAUAGUGUUGGUAUGCAUUGAACAUCAUUUUGGAAUUGCUUCGACAAGAGGCAGAGUACUCAUAUUUAUUUAUUUAAAAUAAAAUGAACUUCAACAUGAACAAUUAAAAAUUAACUUGAACAUGAACAUUAUUUUAUAUGUAAGUGAUUUAAAUACAGUAUCAACCCAAACAAAAGACAGCAGGUAAAUUAGGUGCACUAUAGAUUUGAAAUGUUUGAAAUAACCAUGAUAUAUAUAUACCUUAGGUUCAAAAUGGCAUUGCUACCUAUGCAACAUGGACAAGCAUUGCCACACUGCUCAACUUCACUAUUGUGUUGGAUCUAGCAUCAGUUUCCCCAACAAAUGCUGCUACAGCUUCUUUAUGCAUACUUCUGUUGGAAGUAAUUAUAUGGUUUACAGUUGAAAACGUUCUAAUAGAGAAGCAUGUCCGUUACAUCCUCACCGUUUACCCUGUGAUUAUCUAUGCUCUAAUUGGAAGCCUGAGCAAGCAUUACGACGCAGCAGCACCUGGGCGGAACGCUGUCUUUUCAGCGGUGCUCCUCGUGUUGGCCUGUAUUGUGUUGGUGGUGCGCGUGGGGCUGGUGGUUUGGAGACACAGGACUCGGCCUCUCUACCAUGAAGUCAGUCCUGAGGUCCUGAUGUCACCAAGCAGCAGAACCGAUAAAUAACCAUACAUCAUAAACACUCAUAAAAACUUCAAAGAUGACGUGCCCUGAGCGGUAACACUUCC
Cyprinus carpio (common carp) is the source of this 858-nucleotide long non-coding RNA. Lineage: Eukaryota; Metazoa; Chordata; Actinopteri; Cypriniformes; Cyprinidae. The record is from Ensembl.